UACGUAGGGGGCUAGCGUUGUCCGGAAUCAUUGGGCGUAAAGCGCGUGUAGGCGGUUCGGUAAGUCUGCUGUGAAAGUCGGGGGCUCAACCCUCGAAUGCCGGUGGAUACUGUCGGACUAGAGUGCGGAAGAGGCGAGUGGAAUUCCUGGUGUAGCGGUGAAAUGCGCAGAUAUCAGGAGGAACACCAAUUGCGAAGGCAGCUCGCUGGGACGUUACUGACGCUGAGGAGCGAAAGCGUGGGGAGCGAACAGG
RNAcentral lists this ribosomal RNA (253 nucleotides) under uncultured bacterium. Its description in RNAcentral is "partial 16S ribosomal RNA". It matches the Rfam family "Bacterial small subunit ribosomal RNA", at positions 524 to 776 of the family's 1533-position model. The record is from RNAcentral.